UCUCUUCUUUCUUUCCUUUGUUCUUCCCCCUUUUUUUCUUGUCUUUCUUUUGCCUUUUUUUCUCUUUUUUUCCUUUUUUUCUUCUUUCCCUUUUCUUUUCCUUUUGUCUUUUUUCUCUUCCCUCUUUUCUUUCCUCUUUUCAUCACUGUUUUCUUUUUCUUUUUCUUUCCAUUUUUCUUUCCAUCUUUUUUCUCUCCAUUCUUCUCUUUCUUCUCUUUCCUUUUUUCUCUUGUUUUCUUCUUUCCUUUCUCCCUUUCCUCUUCUUUCCAUUUUUCUAUCCUUUCACCUCUCUCCUGUUUUUCUCUUUCCUUUUUCCUCUCAUAUUUUCCUUCCUAUUUUCUUUUUCCUUUUAUUUUCCUGCCUUCUUUUCUUUCUUUGUUCUUCUUUCCUUUGUCUCUUUCCUGUUUGCCUCUUUCCUUUCUUCUUUCCUCUUUUCUUUCCCUUAAUUCCCGUUCCUUUUGGGCUCUUUUCUUUUUUCUUUCCUUUUGCCUUUUCCUUUUCUUUCUUUCUUUUCCUUUUUCUUUCCUUUUUUUCUCUGCCUUGUUUCUUUUUUGCCGCUUUCCUUUCACUUUCCUUUAUCGCUCUUUUCCUUCCUUCCUUUCAUUUUCUGUUCUCUUCCUUUUUUGUGUGGCUUUCCUUUUUCUUUCUUUUCUCUUUCCAUUCUGCCUUUCCUCUUUUCUUUCCAUUUUUCUUUUUGCUCUUUCCUUCUCUUUCCCUUUUUGCUUUCUUUUUUCCCUUGUCUUUGUUUUCUUGCCUUUCCCUUCCUUUUGCUUUUCCCUUUUUUCUUUCCUUUUUUCCUGUUCUUCUUUCUCCUUUUGUUUCUUUUUGCUUUCCUUUUUUUCUAUAUCCUUUUUUCUCUUCCCUUUUUUCUAUACUCUCUUGUCUCCUCAUUUUUUUCUCUUUCCUUUUUUUCUUUCCUUUUGUCUUUCUCAGUUCUCUCUUUCCUUCUUUCUCUCAUCUUUUCAUUCCUUUACUCUGUUUCUUUUUAUAAGGCUGCUGCCAAGGCCUUUUUUUCCCUCUUGCCUUUUCUUUCUUUCCUUGCCUUUUCUUUCUUUCUUUGUUUUUCUCCCAUUUUUUCUUGUCUUUCCUUUUCUAUCCUUUUCUUCCCUUUUUUCACUUUACUUCUCUCUCCUUUUUCUUCUCUUCCCUUUUCUCUUUGGUUCUUUCUCUUCCUUUUUUUCAUUUCCUUUCUCUUUCCAUUUUCUCUUUCCAUUUUCUCUCCUGUUUCUUUCCCCGUUUCUUUCCUUUUUAUCUCUUUUCUCUCUUUCCUUUCUCCUCUUUCCUUUUUUUCACUUUUUUUUUCUAUUUCUUUUCUUAUCUUCCCAUUUUUAUUUUCUUUCUUUUCUCUUUCCUUUUUUUUUUCUCUUUCCCGUUUUUACAGAUUAG
This 1386-nucleotide long non-coding RNA is filed under the name Apteryx haastii (Great spotted kiwi). RNAcentral's name for it is "lncRNA (ENSAHAG00000018051.1)". Lineage: Eukaryota; Metazoa; Chordata; Aves; Apterygiformes; Apterygidae. The record is from RNAcentral.